AGCAUGAGUUAGGCCACCUCAGAUAUCAAACAACCUUCAAGCCUGGACUACUGUGAUUUCAAGAAACAACAUCUCCUCAAAAACUGUUCAAGAAUGGCCGCGAUUGUCCUGUACGAGCACGCUGGGUAUGCUGGCAAGAGCCUUCCCCUGACCUCUGCAACCCCCGACCUCACUCUUCGCAGCUUUAACGACAAAGCUUCUUCUAUUGAGGUAAAGAGUGGUAUGUGGACUGUCUUCCAGCAUGUCAAUUACGAAGGAAAAAGGCUCACCCUAAGAAUGGGAAAGUACGACAUCGAGUAUAUUACCAAGAACCUGGGAAACGAUGUCAUCUCUUCAGCUAGACCUGCUGAAAUAAUCCUGUAUCAGAAUGCCCGGUUCCAAGGUAAAACCCUCAAGUUGACUGUUGACACUCAGAGCUUGGUUCCGGAGGGUUUUAACGACAUGGUCUCCUCUAUUGAGGUCACUUGGGGCGAUUGGACGGUGUACCAACACGUCGACUACAAAGGAAAGAGUCUUGACCUGAAGGCCGGAAGGUAUGACAUGGACUUCAUCACCAAGAAUAUGGGGAACGAUGUCAUCUCCUCUGUGAGACUGACACCAAGUGCUUGAAGAGAACACUAAUUACUGUAAAAACAAUGUAAUUAUGUAGUUAUAGUCUAGGCCGAACUAUUUUCUGCUGCUUACAUUGAUUUAUUUUGUAUACAAUGUAAUGUUAAAACGUAAUUGUGAGA
Long non-coding RNA from Halichondria panicea, 731 nucleotides. RefSeq lists it as uncharacterized. The transcript is spliced from 2 exons. The record is from RefSeq and is a predicted model, not a curated record. NCBI's taxonomy places the organism in Eukaryota, Metazoa, Porifera, Demospongiae, Suberitida, Halichondriidae.